This is a long non-coding RNA of Dioscorea cayenensis subsp. rotundata (Guinea yam), 959 nucleotides long. RefSeq lists it as uncharacterized. The transcript is spliced from 4 exons. Lineage: Eukaryota; Viridiplantae; Streptophyta; Magnoliopsida; Dioscoreales; Dioscoreaceae. The record is from RefSeq and is a predicted model, not a curated record.
GAUCUCAUGUCUCAUUUUGUGAAAUAAAUACCAGCACACUCAGCAUCAAAGCCCGUCCUCCAAACAAAGCCAAAUUCUUUAACGCACUGCUCCCUCUUCUUCAUUCUCCUUCUCUUCGUCAUCUUUCAUCUCUAAUCUCCGAUCUCGUUUCUCCACCACAUCCGAUCUCCCUCAGUGAGAUGCUCACCAGAAGGGGGCCAGAGUUGAAUAUAGGAAUUGAUAGGGUUAGGAGAUAAAAGCUUCAGCUUGCCCUCUUCGCCUAGAUCUCUCUAAAUGCCAUUGGAGUUAUAUCUAGUAAGGAGUUUCUUGGAGUUUGGUUGUACUCAUGUACUUCAAUGGUGAAAGCUUUGUGGAUCCUCUCUGGCUUGUGUAAUCAUAAAGUUUAAGGGCUCACAGGUAGUUUUGUCACUUUAUUCAGCAUGUACGCCAUCUUGGCUCACUUGUCUGGCAUCUUCUCCUCAUCUGAAUCUGCUUACUUGUGAACUGUCUACUCUGUUUUCAAGUAAUGCAUUAUGCCCCACCACACAAUUCAGAUGUAGCAUCAUCUUCCAUUAGACUUCAUCAGCUUGCACACUUGACAAAAACAGGUCUAGCUAAAAGAGAUACAAGAUUUGUGUCGAGGCUGUCGGCAACUGAAAUACUUGCAAAGAUUGAGCAAGCUAUUGCACCGUUGGGGUUCACUAUAGAAAAGAACAACUACAAGUUCUUCUUUGUUUAUUUUAUGCUCAAUUUUUUUCAAUGAAACAACAAAAUCCUAAUACCGCACUACAAUUUUGACCCUAAACCUUUUGCUAAGGAGCACUUGUUUUCUUUGUGCAGCACUUUGUUAGGAAAUAAUCCUUGCUUUCUUUCCUUCUUGUUCUCCCUUUUGCAAUGAGUGUAUUAGUAAUCUUAUGCUUUACAAAUUAUUACACUUUGUUACACUGUCGGAUUGUAUUACCAAACUAAAUUCUGAAUGA